UUUUUAUGGCCGCUCCCACAACAUAUGGAGGUUCCCAGGUUAGGGGUCGAAUCGGAGCUGUUGCUUCCUACACCACAGCCACAGCAACGCGGGAUCCGAGCCGCAUCUGCAACCUACACCACAGCUCAUGGCAACGCCUGAUCCUUAACCCACUGAGCAAGGCCAGGGACCGAACCUGCAACCUCAUGAUUCCCAGUCGGAUUCGUUAACCACUGAGCCACGAUGGGAACUCCACCCAGACUUAUUUUCAUUUACUACAUGUCUACCUCUUUAUCACCAAAAAGUUCGAAAGAACUACACUGUAAAUUUCAUUGAUACUUUCCAUUGAAAAUAUCAAUGUUUAGGGAAACAUUUAUCAUACAAAACAUGAGCCAAGAAUUACAUAGUGAACAUAUGCCAUUAUUACUGUGGUGGGUCAGCAUUAUCACGGACCACUUGCUAUUGCUGGUGGAAGCCAGAGAUCAUCUAACUGAUGAUCUUUCCUGUGUACUCCAUAAACUGUAAAGUAAAAACUGCUGCUCAAGCACCUUACACAAACACUCGGUGCAAACGCUGACACUGCAUGCAUAUUCUAUAUUUGGUACCAUCAGAAAACAGAGAGUAACAAACCUGGUCUACAAUGUCGUUGACUUUAUCCCGUUCACAGUCCAGGAUUACACGCCGUUCCUUUUUUAGCUCCAGAUCCUGAAAGAGCGAUCGGUAGGUCUCAUCUUUCUUGUCAUUGUUAAUGUUCCCCACAUUGAUAGCAGUCACUUGCCACUUCUUUUCAGCAGCAGAAUCCAGCACAGCUUGCAGGGUCGAUAAGCCUAGGAUGGCAAAGAAAGAUAACCUACAGUUAGUAUGGUUAUAAAUAUGUACUUAUUUUCACUUCAUACCAAAAACUCUUUCAUCUAACUGUCAUUGUCUUGAAUAAAGAGUCAUGGUUUGGAGAAAAAUCAUAUUCCUUUCUUUUAGCCUUCUCAGGGGUCUUCUUUUGAAUAUUACCAAAGCAUACUGUCUUUAAUAAAGCCAAAAGGCAUUAAUUCAAUCAAAAGACAUUACAAAAAAAAUUAUCUCCUAUGUGGAAUGGAAAAAAACUCUUUAGAAAUGAGAGUCUUCCAUUUCACAUUAUUAUCCUGAAGAGGUUGAAUCCUUUUUCAGUGAGAUGGAAUCCAUGUUGGGUCUCUGUCAUUAUAAAAGCCAAUAAUCUAGGAAUAAUCUAUUUCCUCUUAUUGCUUUUCUUGUCAGCAUUUGUUGUUAUUUUUUCCCCUCCGCUUUUUGUUAUAUAAUUUAUUGUUAUUGGGACUAAUCCUAUAAAAAUUGUGUUCACCUAUUAACCAGAUGAUAGCAGUUAGUUUUCUAGCACAAAUUUUUGCAUUUACUUAACUUUCCAAAUGUGAAACCAUUUUAUAUUUCUUUAGUAACUUUGCUAAUAGGAUCAUAUUCCUUACUUUUAUUCUUAUGUUUAAUUGUUCAUACAUUACCUCAUAUGUAUGAUUCAGAGGGAAAACAACUUGGGAACAUAUUUCCUAAAGUUAAUUCUGUAUUUGAGUGCUUAGAAAACCAGUAUAUAAAUUUUCCUUCCACAUCACUUCAGCUGUUCAUAGCCAACCCAAGUUCAUUAUUUUCUAUGAAUAGCUUAACGAACAUCAAAAAAUCAGGGCUCCAGAAAGAAUUUAGGACUCAUCACUUCAUCAUCCUUAUUCGACAAAGACAAGAAUAUGGAUCCCUUUUUACUCAUAAAAUGUGGUAGUAUUUAAAUCUGUUUGCCAUGCAAAAGAUAUGUGUAUGCAUUCUAAAUACAGUUGAAAGUUAUCUGAACCUGGAAAAGAUCAUUAAUUUUUUUAUUGACUCUACAUUGACCCAGAGUAUAUAAGAUGUACCUAGAACAUCCCAUCAUACCAUAAAGUAAAGAAGCUUUCCCAAACUAUCAGCAUCGUGUCAGAAGACCCAGGAGCCAAUUUGAUGAAAAUCACUCUAAGUAAAGAUGAGUUAAUUUGAACAUUAGUAAGAACAGUAACUUCUAAAGACUUAACUACAUAAAAUUUUUUAAAUCCAUACAUUUCUUAAAUGUAAUGACAUUUAGGAAAGAUAUUUGAUUACCUUUGAAGGAUGCUAGGGAGCCAAGUUAUUAUUUUGAAAACUGGUAAAUAAAAGAAAAGAAAUGAGCAUUUUCUUGCCAUUCCCAUAUGAACAAUACUCAGGAUAUAGUUAAUUAAGGGAGAUUUUCUUCUUGGGAGGACUCCUGCUAAUAAAUGAGGGACGAUUAUAGCUUUAGAAUUACGACCAUCUUAUAACACCUAGUGAAUUAAUGAAUCAAAGCAACAAUCAUUAACUGUUGCUAACAACACAAAAAGAGAGACAGCCGGAAGUUAACAUGUCGUCAAAUAGGGAUAUUCCAACACCACCUAUGAAGUAAUCAUGCCAAAAAAAUUGAACAUGAAGCUCAUCAACAUUUAGAUCAAAUGACCCUUUUAUAAGGAAUAUAUUGCACAGAGUAAUGUGCUAAAAGCUACAGUGGGACAAUCAUCUAAAUCCAGACUGUGGGAAAUUGCAUCACCUUAUAAAAGCCUUAAGAGAUAUAUUAACCAAUUGCUAUAUUUGGACCUCACUUUUAUCCUACUUCAGACAAACUGUGAAAAGAAUAGAUGACGUUUGUGAAAAAUUACUGUUAACUUGUAUGGAUAUGAUAAUGAUAUUGUGGUUAUAUUUAAAGCAAGAGAAUUGUUCUUUCAAAAUAUAAACCAAAAUAGUUACAGAUGAAAUAAUAUGAUGUCAAGUAUUGGCUUCAAAAUAAUAUCAAAGGGUGGAAGGAUGGAAAUAGACAAGACUCCUCCUAUCUGCCAUUUAAAUUUGGCUUAAGAGUCCUUGAAGGUCUUCAUAUUAUUCUGUCAAUAUUGCUACUUAAAAUAUUUCAUGGUGAAAACUUAAAAUAAUUUAAAAUUAAUAUUUCUUAAUAAAAAUUUAAAAUAAUUUACUUCUAUUCCAAAUUGGAAAGUUAAACCAUAAAUUUAAAAUGAAUAUUGUGAGGUUUUUGGCAAAACAACAAAAUUGGUUUCCCCCAUCUAGUCUUGUAACAAAAACUAUAGGAUAAAAAGAAUUUCUCAAGGAAUAACUUAAACAGAGACUUCAUGUCAUUGUAAAACAUCUAUUAAUGAUAAAACUUUUAAAACCUUACAAUUCACCUAUGAUUUCCAUUCACCCUAAGUGAGUUAAAUCUUUCCAUGAUGCACUUCAAAUCUUUUUCUUGUUUUUGGUCAUCAGUGAAAACAGAUCUAAAGCUGGUCAUCAUGAUCAAUCCAACAGCUGUGAGUAUGCUUGAAAACAGUUAUUAAGUUUAUCCAGGUUUCUUUCCAAGUAGGAAAAAGUACUAAUUCUCUAAACUAAUUUUCCACUGUCAAGGUCUUAUUUUGCAUGUUUCAAUCAUUAUGUGACUCUUCCUUGUCACCUCUUUAAAAACAACACAUCCAAGUCUUAUGUUCUUUAUGCUAUAUAUUAUCAUGUAGCACUUAUAUGUGAGCCUCCUUCCUUCUAGGCAAUGAAUUAUUUCGUGGUGUUUUUGUUUAAUUAUGAAAUUUACCACAUAUUAAGUUAAAGUUUCAAACAGUGAUAUUCUUGAUAGUCUGUCCUACCUUUCAAUGUAUUUUACAAGAAAUUUUAAAUAUUAAAGACAAUUUGUAGAUGAAUCAAGUGAUAUUUCUACACCUAACAUUUACGCGCAGUUCAUCUUGUCCAAGAAAAAGAUGAUGAAUUAAAUCAGUAAGAAUGCAUUUAAAGAAAUGGCUGAUUCAAACGCAUCCAUGUUAUGUACUGAAAGUAACACAGAGUUAAUGUGGAUUCUGUUAUUAAAACUCUCAGAAUUGAUAUUUUGUAACCUAUAAAACCUAAAAAAUGAAUCCAUUUAUUAAGAGCUAAACUGCUCAAAUGGUACAAAUAUCGGAGGAUAGAUUUAGUUUCAUCAGAAAACAUUGAAAAAUAUUAAUCAUCUUCUAAGGACACCCAGAAAUAAGGCACAAACUACAGCAGAAUCUGACUCUAAAUAUUGCUGUCCAUGGAUUUAUUUUUUAGUAAAUGACCCUCAACUUGAUCUGCCUUUCCCCACAAUGAAGCUUUUUGUAUUAUGUCUAGUUAUUUUAAAAUUAAUAGAUCACUGUAAAACUUUUAAAAAUCACUGAAAUGCAUGUUACAAAUAUUAGGGUAAAAUUAAAUUAUUCAAUUAAUACAAAUUAAUGUUCUUAGAGAAAAGCAUAUUCUGAUUAGGGAAGAAAUUACUG
RNAcentral lists this long non-coding RNA (4253 nucleotides) under Sus scrofa (pig). RNAcentral describes it as "lncRNA (ENSSSCG00025041506.1)". The record is from RNAcentral. Lineage: Eukaryota; Metazoa; Chordata; Mammalia; Artiodactyla; Suidae.